Molecule: ribosomal RNA, 429 nt
Filed under: uncultured prokaryote
Description: bacterial SSU rRNA
Rfam family: Bacterial small subunit ribosomal RNA
Source: RNAcentral
UCGAGAGGCUUCCACAAUGGGGGAAACCCUGAUGGAGCGACGCCGCGUGGGUGAUGAAGGUCUUCGGAUCGUAAAGCCCUUUCAGCAGGGAAGAAGAGAUCGACGACUAAUAAUCGUUGAGAUCAGACGGUACCUGAAGAAGAAGCUCCGGCUAACUCCGUGCCAGCAGCCGCGGUAAGACGGAGGGAGCAAGCGUUGUUCGGAUUUACUGGGCGUAAAGGGCGUCUAGGCGGACUGAUAAGUCAGAUGUGAAAUACCUCGGCUCAACCGGGGAAUUGCAUUUGAUACUGUCGGUCUUGAGUACGGAAGAGGGAAGCGGAAUUCCUGGUGUAGCGGUGAAAUGCGUAGAUAUCAGGAAGAACACCGGUGGCGAAGGCGGCUUCCUAGUCCGUUACUGACGCUGAAGCGCGAAAGUGUGGGGAGCAAACA